AGUGAACGCUGGCGGUAGGCCUAACACAUGCAAGUCGAACGGCAGCACAGUAAGAGCUUGCUCUUACGGGUGUCGAGUGGCGGACGGGUGAGGAAUACAUCGGAAUCUACUUUUUCGUGGGGGAUAACGUAGGGAAACUUACGCUAAUACCGCAUACGACCUACGGGUGAAAGCAGGGGAUCUUCGGACCUUGCGCGAUUGAAUGAGCCGAUGUCGGAUUAGCUAGUUGGCGGGGUAAAGGACCACCAAGGCGACGAUCCGUAGCUGGUCUGAGAGGAUGAUCAGCCACACUGGCACUGAGACACGGUCCAGACUCCUACGGGAGGCAGCAGUGGGGAAUAUUGGACAAUGGGCGAAAGCCUGAUCCAGCCAUACCGCGUGGGUGAAGAAGGCCUUCGGGUUGUAAAGCCCUUUUGUUGGGAAAGAAAAGCAGCAGGUUAAUACCCCGCUGUUCUGACGGUACCCAAAGAAUAAGCACCGGCUAACUUCGUG
This 492-nucleotide ribosomal RNA is filed under the name uncultured bacterium. Its description in RNAcentral is "partial 16S ribosomal RNA". It matches the Rfam family "Bacterial small subunit ribosomal RNA", at positions 29 to 507 of the family's 1533-position model. The record is from RNAcentral.